UAACCAAUCCGUUUUUCCCGUUCACCAGCGGACGGGUAAUUCAAAAACCCCUAGUUUUGCGGCAGACGGUAUUUCCUUUGCUUCCCUAAUUUUCGCUGCCCGUAGAAAUACCGCCUGCCAUGCAGGCUACCUAUAUUGCUGAUCUACCGAUUUGCCCUUUGGAAAAUUGAAGAAACAGAUUUCACUUGUGUGUUAGCUGUCACUAUUACAACCAUAGACGGCAAUACAUGUUUUGCAGUGCACCUUACGUUUUACAUGAACAAUUUAGAUCUUUUCGUUAUUCAAGCUGUACUCAGAGCUGACUAUAUAUAAUAUAGGCCUACUCUGGGGCGGUAAAUCGCCUUAAAUCGCUGCGAUAUAAUGCGAUUUUAGGCGAUUUAAGGAAAAACUGGGACUUUCAAGCACUGCGAUUUAAUGCGAUUUUAGGCG
Molecule: non-coding RNA, 429 nt
Organism: Paramuricea clavata
Lineage: Eukaryota; Metazoa; Cnidaria; Anthozoa; Malacalcyonacea; Plexauridae
Source: the annotation of a GenBank genome assembly